RNAcentral lists this ribosomal RNA (504 nucleotides) under uncultured bacterium. RNAcentral's name for it is "partial 16S ribosomal RNA". It matches the Rfam family "Bacterial small subunit ribosomal RNA", at positions 899 to 1397 of the family's 1533-position model. The record is from RNAcentral.
ACUCAAAUGAAUUGACGGGGGCUCACACAAGCGGUGGAGGAUGUGGUUUAAUUCGAAGCAACGCGAAGAACCUUACCAGGUCUUGACAUUCCGGGAUUAGCGGCGUGAAAGCGUCGUGAUUGCCCUCAAAGCGUAACCGGAACAGGUGCUGCAUGGCUGUCGUCAGCUCGUGCCGUGAGGUGUUAGGUUAAGUCCUUUAACGAGCGAAACCCCUACGAUUAGUUACCAACGCGUCAUGGCGGGGACUCUAGUCGGACUGCCGCGAAAGUAGGAGGAAGGUGGGGACGACGUCAAGUCAUCAUGGCCUUUAUGAUCUGGGCUACACACGUCCUACAAUGGGUGGUACAACGGGUAGCGAAGUCGCGAGACGGAGCCAAUCCUGAAAAGCCAUCCUCAGUUCAGAUUGUGGGCUGCAAUUCGCCCACAUGAAGCUGGAAUCGCUAGUAAUCGCGGAUCAGCUACGCCGCGGUGAAUAUGUUCCUGAGCCUUGUACACACCGCCCGU